GAUGAACGCUGGCGGCGUGCUUAACACAUGCAAGUCGAACGGGAUCCCAGGGGUUCUUGCCCUUUUUGGUGAGAGUGGCUAACGGGUGAGUAACACGUGAGUAACCUGUCCUUUUCUUUGGGAUAAGCAUUCGAAAGGGUGUUUAAUACCUUAUUUUCUGUCUGCCUCGUAUGGGGUGGUUGGGAAAGCCUUUUGCCGGGUUUGGGUGGGCUCGCGGUCUAUCUGCUUGUUGGUGGGGUGAUGGCUUACCGAGGCUCUGACGGGUAGCCGGCCUGUGAGGGGGGUGGGUGAGAGGGGGACUGGGAUAAGGGGCAGAGAGCUGCGGGAGGCAGCAGUGGGGGAUGUUGCACAAUGGGAGAAAGCCUGAUGGAGGGAAGCCGGGUGGAGGAUGAAGGCGUUAGGGGUGUAGGCUUCUGUUGAUCUGAGCACGGCAUGCCAGUGGGUGUGUGAAGUGAAGGGGUUAAUAAGCGCCGGCUAACUACGUG
Molecule: ribosomal RNA, 485 nt
Filed under: uncultured bacterium
Lineage: Bacteria
Description: partial 16S ribosomal RNA
Rfam family: Bacterial small subunit ribosomal RNA
Source: RNAcentral